CAGCAGCCGCGGUAAUACGUAGGGUGCGAGCGUUAAUCGGAAUUACUGGGCGUAAAGCGUGCGCAGGCGGUUAUAUAAGACAGAUGUGAAAUCCCCGGGCUCAACCUGGGACCUGCAUUUGUGACUGUAUAGCUAGAGUACGGUAGAGGGGGAUGGAAUUCCGCGUGUAGCAGUGAAAUGCGUAGAUGUGCGGAGGAACACCGAUGGCGAAGGCAAUCCCCUGGACCUGUACUGACGCUCAUGCACGAAAGCGUGGGGAGCAAACAGGAUUAGAUACCCGCGUAGUCCCUGUCUCUUAUAA
RNAcentral lists this ribosomal RNA (301 nucleotides) under uncultured bacterium. RNAcentral's name for it is "partial 16S ribosomal RNA". It matches the Rfam family "Bacterial small subunit ribosomal RNA", at positions 509 to 809 of the family's 1533-position model. The record is from RNAcentral.